AUUGAACGCUGGCGGCAUGCUUUACACAUGCAAGUCGAACGGCAGCGCAGUCUUCGCCCUCUCUUCGGGUUGCCAACUGGUGGGUGAUUCAUCAGAACAUGCCCAUCUAUUUGUGCUUGGUGGGCAACAUCCGGAUUCAUACCCUAUUACCCCUUACGGCCAAAGGGGGGGAUCAUCGGACCUUCGGCCCUUGGACGAGCCGAUGGCCGAUUAGCUAGUUGGUGGGGUAAAGGCCUACCAAGGCGACGAUCUGUAGCUGGUCUGAGAGGAUGACCAGCCACACUGGAACUGAGACACGGCCCAGACUCCUACGGGAGGCAGCAGUGGGGAAUUUUGGACAAUGGGCGCAAGCCUGAUCCAGCAAUGCCGCGUGUGUGAUGAAGGCCUUCGGGUUGUAAAGCCCUUUUGUCGGGAACGAAAAGCACUGUGCUAAUACCACGGUGUGAUGACGGUACCCGAAGAAUAAGCACCGGCUAACUACGUG
This 484-nucleotide ribosomal RNA is filed under the name uncultured bacterium. RNAcentral describes it as "partial 16S ribosomal RNA". It matches the Rfam family "Bacterial small subunit ribosomal RNA", at positions 30 to 507 of the family's 1533-position model. The record is from RNAcentral.